CACACCGCCGUCACAUCACGAAAGUGGGCUGUACUAGAAGUGGCUGAGCUAACUCGUAAGGGGGCAGGUUACGACGGUAUGGUUCAUGAUUGGGGUG
RNAcentral lists this ribosomal RNA (97 nucleotides) under uncultured bacterium. Its description in RNAcentral is "partial 16S ribosomal RNA". The record is from RNAcentral.